This 71-nucleotide transfer RNA is filed under the name Acidimicrobiia bacterium. RNAcentral describes it as "tRNA-Gly". It matches the Rfam family "tRNA". From Rfam's summary of the family: Transfer RNA (tRNA) molecules are approximately 80 nucleotides in length. Lineage: Bacteria; Bacillati; Actinomycetota; Acidimicrobiia. The record is from RNAcentral.
GCGGAUGUAGCUCAAUGGUAGAGCCGCAGGCUUCCAUCCUGCUGACGAGGGUUCGAUUCCCUUCAUCCGCU